This 465-nucleotide ribosomal RNA is filed under the name uncultured bacterium. RNAcentral describes it as "partial 16S ribosomal RNA". It matches the Rfam family "Bacterial small subunit ribosomal RNA", at positions 339 to 795 of the family's 1533-position model. The record is from RNAcentral.
CCACGGGAGGCAGCAGUGAGGAAUUUUGCGCAAUGGGGGAAACCCUGACGCAGCAACGCCGCGUGAGUGAUGAAGGCCUUCGGGUCGUAAAGCUCUGUCUAGUGGGGAGAACUUGCUUGAUGCUAAUAUCACCAGGCACAGACGGUACCACUGAAGGAAGCACCGGCUAACUCCGUGCCAGCAGCCGCGGUAAUACGGAGGGUGCAAGCGUUAUUCGGAAUUAUUGGGCGUAAAGGGCGCGUAGGCGGCCUUAAAAGUCAGAUGUGAAAGCCCAGGGCUCAACCCUGGAAGUGCAUUUGAUACUAUGAGGCUUGAGUAUGGGAGAGGGAAGUGGAAUUCCUGGUGUAGAGGUGAAAUUCGUAGAUAUCAGGAGGAACACCGGUGGCGAAGGCGACUUCCUGGACCAAUACUGACGCUGAGGCGCGAAGGCGUGGGGAGCAAACAGGAUUAGAUACCCGCGUAGUC